RNAcentral lists this ribosomal RNA (514 nucleotides) under uncultured archaeon. Its description in RNAcentral is "bacterial SSU rRNA". It matches the Rfam family "Archaeal small subunit ribosomal RNA", at positions 345 to 859 of the family's 1478-position model. The record is from RNAcentral.
AACCUCCGCAAUGCGAGCAAUCGCGACGGGGGGACCCCAAGUGCCACUCUUAACGGGGUGGCUUUUCUUAAGUGUAAAAAGCUUUUGGAAUAAGGGCUGGGCAAGACCGGUGCCAGCCGCCGCGGUAACACCGGCAGCUCUAGUGGUAGCCAUUUUUAUUGGGCCUAAAGCGUUCGUAGCCGGUUUGAUAAGUCUCUGGUGAAAUCCUAUAGCUUAACUGUGGGACUUGCUGGAGAUACUAUUAGACUUGAGGUCGGGAGAGGUUAGCGGUACUCCCAGGGUAGGGGUGAAAUCCUGUAAUCCUGGGAGGACCACCUGUGGCGAAGGCGGCUAACUGGAACGAACCUGACGGUGAGGGACGAAAGCCAGGGGCGCGAACCGGAUUAGAUACCCGGGUAGUCCUGGCCGUAAACGAUGUGGACUUGGUGUUGGAAUGGCUUCGAGCUGCUCCAGUGCCGAAGGGAAGCUGUUAAGUCCACCGCCUGGGAAGUACGGUCGCAAGACUGAAACUUAA